GAUGAACGCUGGCGGCGUGCCUAAUACAUGCAAGUCGAGCGAACGGACGAGAAGCUUGCUUCUCUGAUGUUAGCGGCGGACGGGUGAGUAACACGUGGAUAACCUACCUAUAAGACUGGGAUAACUUCGGGAAACCGGAGCUAAUACCGGAUAAUAUUUUGAACCGCAUGGUUCAAAAGUGAAAGACGGUCUUGCUGUCACUUAUAGAUGGAUCCGCGCUGCAUUAGCUAGUUGGUAAGGUAACGGCUUACCAAGGCAACGAUGCAUAGCCGACCUGAGAGGGUGAUCGGCCACACUGGAACUGAGACACGGUCCAGACUCCUACGGGAGGCAGCAGUAGGGAAUCUUCCGCAAUGGACGAAAGCCUGACGGAGCAACGCCGCGUGAGUGAUGAAGGUCUUCGGAUCGUAAAACUCUGUUAUUAGGGAAGAACAUAUGUGUAAGUAACUGUGCACAUCUGGACGGUACCUAAUCAGAAAGCCACGGCUAACUACGU
Molecule: ribosomal RNA, 496 nt
Filed under: uncultured bacterium
Lineage: Bacteria
Description: partial 16S ribosomal RNA
Rfam family: Bacterial small subunit ribosomal RNA
Source: RNAcentral